CCAUUCUCGCAUAACAGUACCAUAUUCUUGGGAUUUCUCAUAUAAAUGGGACUGAUAUGCGAGUAUGG
RNAcentral lists this microRNA precursor (68 nucleotides) under Aedes aegypti (yellow fever mosquito). RNAcentral's name for it is "microRNA aae-mir-11921 precursor". The record is from miRBase by way of RNAcentral. Lineage: Eukaryota; Metazoa; Arthropoda; Insecta; Diptera; Culicidae.